GGGUUGUGAGGUUAAGCGACUAAGCGUACACGGUGGAUGCCCUGGCAGUCAGAGGCGAUGAAGGACGUGCUAAUCUGCGAAAAGCGUCGGUAAGGUGAUAUGAACCGUUAUAACCGGCGAUGUCCGAAUGGGGAAACCCAGUGCAAUUCGUUGCACUAUCGUUAACUGAAUACAUAGGUUAACGAGGCGAACCGGGGGAACUGAAACAUCUAAGUACCCGAGGAAAAGAAAUCAACCGAGAUUCCCCAGUAGCGGCGAGCGAACGGGGAGCAGCCCAGAGUCUGAAUCAGCUUGUGUGUUAGUGGAACGGUCUGGAAAGUCCGACGGUACAGGGUGAUAGUCCCGUACACCAAAAUGCACAGGUUGUGAACUCGAAGAGUAGGGCGGGACACGUGGUAUCCUGUCUGAAUAUGGGGGGACCAUCCUCCAAGGCUAAAUACUCCUGACUGACCGAUAGUGAACCAGUACCGUGAGGGAAAGGCGAAAAGAACCCCGGCGAGGGAGUGAAAAAGAACCUGAAACCGUGUACGUACAAGCAGUGGGAGCACCUUCGGGUGUGACUGCGUACCUUUUGUAUAAUGGGUCAGCGACUUAUAUUCUGUAGCAAGGUUAACCGUAUAGGGGAGCCGCAGGGAAACCGAGUCUUAACUGGGCGUUAAGUUGCAGGGUAUAGACCCGAAACCCGGUGAUCUAGCCAUGGGCAGGUUGAAGGUUGGGUAACACUAACUGGAGGACCGAACCGACUAAUGUUGAAAAAUUAGCGGAUGACUUGUGGCUGGGGGUGAAAGGCCAAUCAAACCGGGAGAUAGCUGGUUCUCCCGAAAGCUAUUUAGGUAGCGCCUCGUGAACUCAUCUUCGGGGGUAGAGCACUGUUUCGGCUAGGGGGUCAUCCCGACUUACCAACCCGAUGCAAACUACGAAUACCGAAGAAUGUUAUCACGGGAGACACACGGCGGGUGCUAACGUCCGUCGUGAAGAGGGAAACAACCCAGACCGCCAGCUAAGGUCCCAAAGUCAUGGUUAAGUGGGAAACGAUGUGGGAAGGCACAGACAGCCAGGAUGUUGGCUUAGAAGCAGCCAUCAUUUAAAGAAAGCGUAAUAGCUCACUGGUCGAGUCGGCCUGCGCGGAAGAUGUAACGGGGCUAAACCAUGCACCGAAGCUGCGGCAGCGACACUAUGUGUUGUUGGGUAGGGGAGCGUUCUGUAAGCCUGCGAAGGUGUGCUGUGAGGCAUGCUGGAGGUAUCAGAAGUGCGAAUGCUGACAUAAGUAACGAUAAAGCGGGUGAAAAGCCCGCUCGCCGGAAGACCAAGGGUUCCUGUCCAACGUUAAUCGGGGCAGGGUGAGUCGACCCCUAAGGCGAGGCCGAAAGGCGUAGUCGAUGGGAAACAGGUUAAUAUUCCUGUACUUGGUGUUACUGCGAAGGGGGACGGAGAAGGCUAUGUUAGCCGGGCGACGGUUGUCCCGGUUUAAGCAUGUAGGCUGAUUGUCCAGGCAAAUCCGGAUAAUCAAGGCUGAGGUGUGAUGACGAGGCACUACGGUGCUGAAGUAACAAAUGCCCUGCUUCCAGGAAAAGCCUCUAAGCAUCAGGUAACAUUAAAUCGUACCCCAAACCGACACAGGUGGUCAGGUAGAGAAUACCAAGGCGCUUGAGAGAACUCGGGUGAAGGAACUAGGCAAAAUGGUGCCGUAACUUCGGGAGAAGGCACGCUGGUGUGUAGGUGAAGUCCCUGCGGAUGGAGCUGAGACCAGUCGAAGAUACCAGCUGGCUGCAACUGUUUAUUAAAAACACAGCACUGUGCAAACACGAAAGUGGACGUAUACGGUGUGACGCCUGCCCGGUGCCGGAAGGUUAAUUGAUGGGGUUAUCCGUAAGGAGAAGCUCUUGAUCGAAGCCCCGGUAAACGGCGGCCGUAACUAUAACGGUCCUAAGGUAGCGAAAUUCCUUGUCGGGUAAGUUCCGACCUGCACGAAUGGCGUAAUGAUGGCCAGGCUGUCUCCACCCGAGACUCAGUGAAAUUGAACUCGCUGUGAAGAUGCAGUGUACCCGCGGCAAGACGGAAAGACCCCGUGAACCUUUACUAUAGCUUGACACUGAACAUUGAGCCUUGAUGUGUAGGAUAGGUGGGAGGCUUUGAAGCGUGGACGCCAGUCUGCGUGGAGCCAACCUUGAAAUACCACCCUUUAAUGUUUGAUGUUCUAACGUUGGCCCCUGACCGGGGUUGCGGACAGUGUCUGGUGGGUAGUUUGACUGGGGCGGUCUCCUCCCAAAGCGUAACGGAGGAGCACGAAGGUUAGCUAAUCCUGGUCGGACAUCAGGAGGUUAGUGCAAUGGCAUAAGCUAGCUUGACUGCGAGCGUGACGGCGCGAGCAGGUGCGAAAGCAGGUCAUAGUGAUCCGGUGGUUCUGAAUGGAAGGGCCAUCGCUCAACGGAUAAAAGGUACUCCGGGGAUAACAGGCUGAUACCGCCCAAGAGUUCAUAUCGACGGCGGUGUUUGGCACCUCGAUGUCGGCUCAUCACAUCCUGGGGCUGAAGUAGGUCCCAAGGGUAUGGCUGUUCGCCAUUUAAAGUGGUACGCGAGCUGGGUUUAGAACGUCGUGAGACAGUUCGGUCCCUAUCUGCCGUGGGCGCUGGAGAAUUGAGGGGGGCUGCUCCUAGUACGAGAGGACCGGAGUGGACGCAUCACUGGUGUUCGGGUUGUCAUGCCAAUGGCACUGCCCGGUAGCUAAAUGCGGAAGAGAUAAGUGCUGAAAGCAUCUAAGCACGAAACUUGCCCCGAGAUGAGUUCUCCCUGAGACUUUAAGUCUCCUGAAGGAACGUUGAAGACGACGACGUUGAUAGGCCGGGUGUGUAAGCGCAGCGAUGCGUUGAGCUAACCGGUACUAAUGAACCGUGAGGCUUAACCUUACAACGCCGAAG
Molecule: ribosomal RNA, 2918 nt
Filed under: Klebsiella pneumoniae
Lineage: Bacteria; Pseudomonadati; Pseudomonadota; Gammaproteobacteria; Enterobacterales; Enterobacteriaceae
Description: 23S ribosomal RNA
Rfam family: Bacterial large subunit ribosomal RNA
Source: RNAcentral